UUCAGUGUCUGUGUUACUAGUCUCCACGGGAGUUCAACAACAAGAUUUCAAGGACUUCUUAACUAUGUGAAAAUAGAGAAGACUGACUCGUCAUACUGAAAUGGGUUCUUUAGAACCCAAGAAGUGCACACUUAGGCUAUUGCCUACAAUCAAUUAUUCUGCUGCUGGAGCUGUGUUGCUGAAGAGAAGACGAUCCCUUCUUCCCAGAGGAGACCAUGCUUUCCCAUAUCGCAACAGGCAAGGAAUUGUCACUGGUCAACACUGAACCUCCUAUAAGCAUGAUGAGGGCAACUUUUGAGCAGCAUCAUCCAGCCUGCCUGUUCUGGGCCACUGCAACACCUGCCUCCCACCUUGACAAGCCCCGCAUCAGGCAGGCAUCGUUCUAAUUUGGUCUUGCAAGUUGUUACACAGAACAUCCUUCAAGAGUGACGCCUGAAACAACCAGUUGCCUUUUUGUCUCGCAAAAAGGCUUUGCUCUCAUCUCAGCUUAGAAUGUCCAUUCAUCACGAUGAGAAGGGCUGGACCGGCCCAGACCUCCAGAAUGUGCAAUGAGCUUUGUGAGCAAUUACCAGUUUCUCCAAGGACUCUGUAGGAUGAGGGUGAAGUGAAUGUCAUCAGAACGGCAGCACUGUGGUCUAAAAGCUGCAUUGUGUCAUAGAUGAACACAAUGAAAUGCUUAAUUUAGUUUAAAAUUAUUCUUUUGUGUCCCUGGCCAUGCCUCAACCACAUACCCCUCAAUAUGUAAACAGCGAUAGAUUUAUUUAUUUCUUUUAUUUCUGAGAA
This is a non-coding RNA of Callithrix jacchus (white-tufted-ear marmoset), 783 nucleotides long. The record is from RefSeq and is a predicted model, not a curated record. NCBI's taxonomy places the organism in Eukaryota, Metazoa, Chordata, Mammalia, Primates, Cebidae.